Molecule: non-coding RNA, 78 nt
Organism: Solanum tuberosum (potato)
Lineage: Eukaryota; Viridiplantae; Streptophyta; Magnoliopsida; Solanales; Solanaceae
Source: Rfam
AAUGAUGGAGAUGAUGUUUUCCUUUGUGAAUAUGAAUAUGACAUCCACUGGCAUAGUUUCAAGCGCAUUUCUGAGAUU